RNAcentral lists this ribosomal RNA (723 nucleotides) under uncultured bacterium. RNAcentral describes it as "bacterial SSU rRNA". It matches the Rfam family "Bacterial small subunit ribosomal RNA", at positions 35 to 765 of the family's 1533-position model. The record is from RNAcentral.
GUUGGCGGCGUGGAUUAGGCAUGCAAGUCGAACGAAUCCCGGGGGGCAACUCCCGGGGGAAGUGGCGAAAGGGGCAGUAAGGCGUGGGUAACCUACCCCGGGGACCGGCAUAGCCGCCCUAACGGGCGGGUAAUUCCGGGCGACGUGGCGGGGUCGCAUGACCCUGUCACCAGAAGGUCCUCCGCCCCGGGAGGGGCCCACGUGGUAUUAGCUAGACGGCGGGGUAACGGCCCACCGUGGCCGAGAUGCCUAGCGGGUGUGAGAGCACGACCCGCGCCACUGGCACUGAGACACUGGCCAGACUCCUACGGGAGGCUGCAGUCGAGGAUCUUCGGCAAUGGGCGCAAGCCUGACCGAGCGACGCCGCGUGCGCGACGAAGGCCUUCGGGUUGUAAAGCGCUGUCGAGGGGGAGGAAAGCCGCAAGGCCUGACCUAUCCCUGGAGGAAGCACGGGCUAAGUUCGUGCCAGCAGCCGCGGUAAGACGAACCGUGCGAACGUUGUUCGGAAUCACUGGGCUUAAAGGGCGCGUAGGCGGGUGCGCAAGUCCGGGGUGAAAGCCCCCGGCUCAACCGGGGAACAGCUUCGGAUACUGCGCACCUCGAGUGGGGUAGGGGCAGACGGAACUUCCGGUGGAGCGGUGAAAUGCGUUGAUAUCGGAAGGAACGCCGGUGGCGAAAGCGGUCUGCUGGACCCCUCCUGACGCUGAGGCGCGAAAGCCAGGG